AUAUUUUCUAGAAAAAAUCAUAUUUAAUUAACCAGCUCAAAAAUAGGAUUAGGAAUUAUUUAGUUUCUUAUUAGAUUUUUUCAAUAAAGAUCUACAAUCCCGAAAAAUGAAGAAACAGAAAUAAUUGAUAGGAUUUAAGACAGUCCGCGUCAAUUCUUUGGGAACGAAUAAGUAUGUAAGUAUGUUUACUUACAUAUAUACUAUAUAUACCGUCAAAGAUAGGCGAGUACAGAGGGGCGAGGAAGAAGAGGUAGAAACUGCUUAAAGAGGCCACGGAAUCUGCAGACGUCGUCUCACCAUCAACCAGUUUUCUCAUACGGUCGACAUAUGAUAUUAUCUAAAAUUAAUAAAAUAAAAUGAUUAUUCAGAACGCAAAAAGCUAAAUCAAUUUAUUUCCAUGGCACUAUCAAACCAAUGACUUGACUCUAGUGAUUGUAAUCUGAUCGGAGUCGAUUUCAUGGCAAGCCAGCAGGUUGCAUGAUAAACGAGAUCAAGGUUGAUGCAGUAUGCUUUCCCUGAAUCACCCUGACCAAUCCAACCAACAUAUAUAUAAAUUUUGAUUGCAAAUUGUCACGUCCAAAGGAAUACGCUUGAUGUUAUGGCCUUAUCUGCACAUCAAGGAGACCAAAGAAAGAUAUUAUUAUUGCCAGGUGUAAGAGAUAUGUUCACAUUGUAAUGGAAUUAUACAAAAAUGUCUGAAUUGAUGAUGAUAGCGAUUUGAGAGCGAAUUUUCGCGAUAAUUCUCUUUUUCUUGGCAAAAAAUAAGAAAAAAUAAAGAUUACAAUGAAUUGAAAUAGAAAAAUAAUGAUGAUCAACUCUCAAAAUAAAUGACGGAAAAAAAAUAUAUUAUAUAUAUUUUUGUUAUUUUUGUGACUAAGAUACGAUUGAUAUAAACAUUUAUAUCCAAAUUAAACAAUAAUAGUUGCAAUGCAAAUAUUGAAUAAACAUUGAUUAUAAAACUGAAAUCUGUUUUGUUUUUCAUUUAAUUCAAAUUCGAAAUUCUUUUUUUAGAAGUAAUAAACGAUUACUGAGAAUAAAUAAAGAUGCUUAGUUAAUUUCUCUAAUUCUUUGAUUAACUUACAUUGACGUCAUUCCGUUGCUCGUUUUCUCCCAAUUGACUUUAUCUUUAUACAAAGACCUUUAAAGUAUCUUGUUGAGCAACUAUAUUGUAGAAUCUAGUGAUUCCAUC
Long non-coding RNA from Apis florea (little honeybee), 1189 nucleotides. Lineage: Eukaryota; Metazoa; Arthropoda; Insecta; Hymenoptera; Apidae. The record is from RefSeq and is a predicted model, not a curated record.